UCCAGGGUAGCCUAGUGGACAUGGCAUCUGCCCAGUAAGCGGAACACUGGGUUGAUUUCCAUCCCUGGAC
Molecule: non-coding RNA, 70 nt
Organism: Cordylochernes scorpioides
Lineage: Eukaryota; Metazoa; Arthropoda; Arachnida; Pseudoscorpiones; Chernetidae
Source: the annotation of a GenBank genome assembly